RNAcentral lists this long non-coding RNA (828 nucleotides) under Homo sapiens (human). RNAcentral's name for it is "HSALNT0402817". Lineage: Eukaryota; Metazoa; Chordata; Mammalia; Primates; Hominidae. The record is from RNAcentral.
CGCCACCGUUGCCAAGGGAUGGGUCCCUGAGACUUGGCGAAGUGGGAGCCCUGUGUGAUCGUGCGUCAGAGUCGGGGCUGAGACCAGCCCCGGCCAGGGUAGUUACCGGGACGGUCUCCGGAGGCCGGGAUUCGCGGAGGGUCCACCAGCAGGAAGAAACCCCAGGAGGAAGAAACCUCAGACAGAUCGCCGGGGAGGCAGCGCGGGAUCCCAGCCUCAGGCGUGCGCGGACGGUGUGCGGACAGAGUCUAGCUUUGUACCAGGCUGCAGUGCAGUAGUGCCAUCUCAGCUCACUGCAACCUCUGCCUCCCGGGUUCAAGAGAUUGUCCUGCCUCAGCCUCCCGAGUAGCUGGGAUUACAGGCACAUGCCACCACACCCAGCUAAUGUUUGUAUUUUUAGUAGACACGGGGUUUCAUCAUGUUGCCCAGGAUGGUCUCAAUUUCCUGACCUCGUGAUCCGCACAUCUCGGCCUCCCAAAAUGCUGGGAUUACAGGCAUGAGCCACCAGAACCGGACAUGCUUUCCUUAAAAGCUAAAUAUUUUAGGCUUGUGUGCCAUUAGGCUCUGUUACAACUACUUAAUUCUGCUUUUGUAAUUCUAUAGCACCCAUUGAUAAUACAUAAACAAAUGAGCAUGAAUGUAUCUCAGUAAAAAUUUGUUCACAUAAACAGGCAGUCCACCCAUGAAGCUAUAGCUUGCUGACCCCUUGUUUAAACAAUCAAUUGAAUUCAAACAGAAAUAAAAGGAUCUUAUAUAUUUAACCAUGUUGAUACCAUUUCCAGUGCUUUUCAUUCUUCUAUGUAGAUCCAAAUUUCCUUUUGAUAUUAU